This 1208-nucleotide long non-coding RNA is filed under the name Marmota monax (woodchuck). The record is from RNAcentral. Lineage: Eukaryota; Metazoa; Chordata; Mammalia; Rodentia; Sciuridae.
UUAUAUAUAGGAGUAUAGGCUUCAGAGAGACCUGAGUCUGAUUCACCCUGGCUUCAUCCCUCACUGAGAGCUCUGAGGUAAGUAAUUUAUUUCUUUCCUCCUGUUCUUGUCUACAACACAGAAAUCAUAAUAAUAUUGACCUAAAAGACGUCCAGAGAAUUAAAGGAGAUCUGCUGUAAAGGAAUCUUGGGUCUUGGUGAGUCUUCUAUAAAUGCUAACUUAGACACUCUUCUUUUGUAACUGGUUCAACCCAUUCUCUUCCUAUCUGCUUUGGUAGACCAUGCAUGUGAGCAAAGGUGACUUCUCCAGGGAGUUCUCACUUGGAACCCAUGGAUCCAGGAACUCAUUGGUAAACUAGCUAUUUGUAUUUUAAAUGUGGUUGGGGUUAGCUCUCCAACCAGGUAGAGAAACAAAUGGAGGCUGCGUAUAUUGACUGACUGUUAAUGACAGGUAUUUGACUAGAAUGGUCUGUUAGGUGUGGCAAUAAAGUUCAUUUUGAAAGGCACAACUUAUUAUAAUAUUUCCUCAGGUAAGUCUGGUUUCCUCGUGAAGAAAAAAUUGCCCAUGUAUAAAUAUUUAAAACAGGCACAUUUGUGAGCAAAGAAACUCUCUCUGAAAGACAUUUCUUCUGUCAAAUUAAGGAUAAUAAGUAUUAUUUGAAUCAUUUAAUACAUUUUAAAACAAAUUGACUCUUAAAAUACAUAACAAAUGAAAAUUAUUUAAAAUUUAAAGAUAACACAGAACUGUUGAUUGCACAGAAUUGUAUUAAUUUUUGAAAUUCUCUGUUUCCAGUGUAUACAAAAUUAGACCAAAAAAUAUAAAAUGAUCCUCCCAUUUUGUCCUCUUCCACCUCAUGUGCAUUCAUCAUUUGACAUUAACAAUGAUCUAAUCAUGGUGUUCUCAUUCCAUGUUGCCUCCUUUCCCUACUCCUGCAUUAUUUUUAAUUGAAUGCCAGGUGUUAUAUCCUAACUGGAUGCAUGAUUUUUUGAAUUUCAGGAAAAUAUAACAUUGCGAUUUUUUUUGGACAUAAAAGCCACCUUAUGUCAUUCACCCUGUCUUUGCCAAAUAAGGAUAUACUUUAAAAGCUUAUGUUUUAAAGAUUGACCAUAUGUUACUUGGUAGUAACUUUCUCAAAUAUAUUGUGAAUGGUUUUUUAAAAAUCAGGAUACCAUAAUUGAAAAGCUUUAGAAACAAUUUACAGAUAAAAC